RNAcentral lists this ribosomal RNA (244 nucleotides) under uncultured Acetothermia bacterium. RNAcentral's name for it is "partial 16S ribosomal RNA". It matches the Rfam family "Bacterial small subunit ribosomal RNA", at positions 1142 to 1382 of the family's 1533-position model. The record is from RNAcentral. Lineage: Bacteria; Candidatus Bipolaricaulota.
GGCGGGACUGCCGGCGAAUAGCUGGAGGAAGGAGGGGAGUGAUGUCAAGUCCUCAUGGCCCUUAUGUCCGGGGCUACACACAUGCUACAGUGCCCAGUACAAUGGGUCGCCAACCCGCAAGGGGGAGCCAAUCCCAUCAAAACGGGGCAUGGUUCGGAUUGCAGGCUGCAAUUCGCCUGCAUGAAGCCGGAAUCGCUAGUAAUCGCGGGUCAGCCACACCGCGGUGAAUACGUUCCCGGGCCUU